RNAcentral lists this long non-coding RNA (1167 nucleotides) under Mytilus galloprovincialis (Mediterranean mussel). The record is from RNAcentral. Lineage: Eukaryota; Metazoa; Mollusca; Bivalvia; Mytilida; Mytilidae.
GUAAAAGAUGGUUGUUUAAAUAUCACUACAUAAUGUUGUUGCAAAUUCCGUCAAGAUAUCGACAGAAAUGUUCCUUAAGUUAAAAGGUAAGAUAUGUUUGUUGAAAAAUCAUCAUGAUUACAAUUAUAUUCCCUUUUUGUAAAAUUGAGCUUUGAGGUUGUAGAAUACAUCAGAACAAUUUCAGGUUUUUUUUGGUAUAACAUGCAAUGUAUUUGAUACAUGAAGAGUUAAUUUGAAGAUAUUAUAAAUUUCCUGUUUACAAAACUUAAAAUUUUUCAAAAAAGUAAGGAUUUUCUUAUCCCAGGCAUAGAUUACCUUAGUCGUAUUUGGCACAAUAUUUUGGAAUUUUGGAUCCUCAAUUCUCUUAAACUUUGUACUUGUUUGGCUUUAUAACUUCAUUGUAUUUUGAUAUGAGCGUCAAUGAUGAGUCUUAUGUAGACGAAACGAGCGUCUGGCGUACUUAAUUAUAAUCCUGGUACCUUUGAUAACUAUUAACAUUGCUUGAAUUAUACCUGAUAAUUGUGGAAAUAGUUGGAGAAUAAGCAACAAUAAAUAUACUAAAGUUAUAGGAGGCUUUUAUAUUACAGACCCAGUUCAAACGACAAAAAGCACUUAUUCAUGAUGGAUUUGAAGAAAUAAAAUAAAAUCCUAAAAGGUAUUUACCUUAACUCAAUAGAGCAUGAUUUAAAAAGUAAAAAAUAACAAAAAUAUCAAACGCAAAGGAGAAAUUAAUGCAGAAAGUGCAUGAUCAAAAAUUAAUUUCAAAUUCAAAAGCUCAAGCACAUCAAAUGAUUUCCUCAUAUAGAAAAGAAUGGCUUUAAUAUGGUUUUAUAUCUAUAGCUAGCUAAACCUCUGAAGUUUUUAAGUCACAAAACAUGCGAGUAAAAUUACAUAAAACUACCAAGGUCAAACUAUGAUCCAUGAUUUUAACCAAAUAAUUAUCAAAAUUUCUUUUUUCUUUUUAGUGGCAAUUUAACUAUGAUCCUUUGUAUUUACAGAUCUUAAAUUGGUCUUCCUGUUGUUUGUCCGUCACGUGGAGUUCAUGCAAGCAACUGAUAAUGAUGGUGUUAUCGAUAUACCAUGUCCUACCCCGAUAUUCAUAUGUCAAGACAGACAGUUGUACCAUGAGGCUAUCUGUUCUGGAGAUUAUAUUCCACGUAUGCCAGC